GCUCCCUUAGCUCAGUUGGAUAGAGCAUCGGUCUUCUAAACCGCAGGUCAGGCGUUCGAAUCGCCUAGGGAGCACCA
RNAcentral lists this transfer RNA (77 nucleotides) under Olsenella sp. Its description in RNAcentral is "tRNA-Arg". It matches the Rfam family "tRNA". From Rfam's summary of the family: Transfer RNA (tRNA) molecules are approximately 80 nucleotides in length. Their secondary structure includes four short double-helical elements and three loops (D, anti-codon, and T loops). Lineage: Bacteria; Bacillati; Actinomycetota; Coriobacteriia; Coriobacteriales; Atopobiaceae. The record is from RNAcentral.